Molecule: non-coding RNA, 117 nt
Filed under: Chlorocebus sabaeus (green monkey)
Lineage: Eukaryota; Metazoa; Chordata; Mammalia; Primates; Cercopithecidae
Source: Rfam by way of RNAcentral
GCUGGGCGUGGUGGCUCACGCCUGUAAUCCCAGCACUUUGGGAGGCUGAGGCAGGCGGAUCACCUGAGGUCAGGAGUUGGAGACCAGCCUGGCCAACAUGGUGAAACCCUGUCUCUA